AGAGCACAGCGAUUGGGUCAGUAGCGGCGAGCGAAGCCCCAAGAGUCCGGUUUUGAAAGCUCCUUCGGGCGCGUUGUAGCCGGAGGCGUCCUUGGCCGACGGUCCAUCCCAAGUCCCAUGGAACUGGGCGCCGUAGAGGGUGAGAGCCCCGUACGGAUGGAUCCGACGCCGUGCAAGGUGCCCUCAAAGAGUCACGUUGUUUGGGAAUGCAGCGUAAAGACGAGGUAAAUUUCUCGUGAAGACUAAAUAUCUGCCAAUGACCGAUAGCGCACAAGUAGCGUGAGCGAAAGAUGAAAACUAUGCUGAAAAGCAAGUUAAAAGAAGGUGAAACUGUUGGAGGGGAAGGCGUGGCACCCAGACGUAGGACGGUCGAUCAGCUUCGGCGCACUCGGCCGCUCCUAGGCCAGCACAGUCGCCGCGGGCUUACAAAAGCGGACGCGACCCCUCCGGGGGUCGCCCCGUGGAAUGGGCCCAGCGGCGGUUGACGACCGCAAGGUACGCUGGCGUAAUGGGAAUCACGCGCCCGUCUUGAAACACGGACCAAGGAGUCGAGCAGUGGUGCGAGUCUACGGGCUUCAAGCCCCGAGGCGCAGUGAAAGCGACAGGGUGGAACUUCGGUGCACACCCGGCCGGGCCCGAUGCUUGCGGAAGGUUCUGAGCAAGAGCAUCACUGUUCGGACCCGAAAGAUGGCGAACUAUGGCUGAGCAGGGUGAAGGCAUCGGAAACGGUGCUGGAGGCCCGAAGAGGUUCUGACGUGCAAAUCGAUCUUCAAACCUGGCCAUGGGGGCGAAAGACUAAUCGAGCCAUCUAGUAGCUGGUUCCUGCCGAAGUUUCCCUCAGGAUAGCAGUGACGCGUUCAGUUCCAUGAGGUAAAGCGAAUGAUUAGAGGCCUUGGGGAAGCAACUUCCUUAACCUAUUCUCAAACUUUGAAUGCGUGGGAGGCCGCCGUUUCUUAACUGAACGGUGGCACUCGAAUGAACGUCACUAGUGGGCCAUUUUUGGUAAGCAGAACUGGCGAUGCGGGAUGAACCGAACGCGGGGUUAAGGUGCCGGAGUGCACGCUCAUGAGACACCACAAAGCGUGUUAGUGCAUCUAGACAGCAGGACGGUGGCCAUGGAAGUCGGAAACCGCUAAGGAGUGUGUAACAACUCACCUGCCGAAUGCACUAGCCGCGAAAAUGGAUGGCGCUAAGCGUGUCACCAACCCCCCGCCGUCAGGGCUGAAAUUACGCCCUGACGAGUAGGCAGGCGUGGAGGUCC
RNAcentral lists this ribosomal RNA (1261 nucleotides) under Superstratomyces atroviridis. RNAcentral's name for it is "eukaryotic LSU rRNA". It matches the Rfam family "Eukaryotic large subunit ribosomal RNA", at positions 62 to 1400 of the family's 3401-position model. Lineage: Eukaryota; Fungi; Ascomycota; Dothideomycetes; Superstratomycetales; Superstratomycetaceae. The record is from RNAcentral.